This 260-nucleotide long non-coding RNA is filed under the name Malus domestica (apple). RNAcentral describes it as "long non-coding RNA (MDOM_LNC005104)". Lineage: Eukaryota; Viridiplantae; Streptophyta; Magnoliopsida; Rosales; Rosaceae. The record is from RNAcentral.
AAUAGAAUAUAUACAAGAUAGCAUUAUAACACAAAAUUUAAAAACAUAAUAAUGUAAGAUUGUUCACGAUAAUUAAAUCUUUUUCAUGCCUAAAUUUCAUUAGAAAGAAAAAGAUGAAGACGGUGAGACAUAAUGUGAAAUCCCAUCCCUGGAUUUCACUAUUUAAAAUUACGUAUCUCGUAUUUCAUAUUCGUAUUCGUAGGUUCAAUGCUUUUUUAUUUACGGCGUAUAGUUUUUUUUAUAAGUAAAAGGACGAAAAU